GACGAACGCUGGCGGCGUGCUUAACACAUGCAAGUCGAACGCUGAAGCUCAGCUUUUGUUGGGUGGAUGAGUGGCGAACGGGUGAGUAACGCGUGAGUAACCUGCCCCCUUCUUUGGGAUAACGCCCGGAAACGGGUGCUAAUACUGGAUAUUCACUGGUCUUCGCAUGGGGGUUGGUGGAAAGGGUUUUUCUGGUGGGGGAUGGGCUCGCGGCCUAUCAGCUUGUUGGUGGGGUGAUGGCCUACCAAGGCUUUGACGGGUAGCCGGCCUGAGAGGGUGACCGGUCACAUUGGGACUGAGAUACGGCCCAGACUCCUACGGGAGGCAGCAGUGGGGAAUAUUGCACAAUGGGCGCAAGCCUGAUGCAGCGACGCCGCGUGAGGGAUGGAGGCCUUCGGGUUGUGAACCUCUUUCGCUCAUGGUCAAGCCGCAACAAUGGUUGUGGUGAGGGUAGUGGGUAAAGAAGCGCCGGCUAACUACGUG
Molecule: ribosomal RNA, 483 nt
Filed under: uncultured bacterium
Lineage: Bacteria
Description: partial 16S ribosomal RNA
Rfam family: Bacterial small subunit ribosomal RNA
Source: RNAcentral